Molecule: ribosomal RNA, 591 nt
Filed under: Micrococcus sp.
Lineage: Bacteria; Bacillati; Actinomycetota; Actinomycetes; Micrococcales; Micrococcaceae
Description: bacterial SSU rRNA
Rfam family: Bacterial small subunit ribosomal RNA
Source: RNAcentral
GCCGCAGCUAACGCAUUAAGUGCCCCGCCUGGGGAGUACGGCCGCAAGGCUAAAACUCAAAGGAAUUGACGGGGGCCCGCACAAGCGGCGGAGCAUGCGGAUUAAUUCGAUGCAACGCGAAGAACCUUACCAAGGCUUGACAUGUUCUCGAUCGCCGUAGAGAUACGGUUUCCCCUUUGGGGCGGGUUCACAGGUGGUGCAUGGUUGUCGUCAGCUCGUGUCGUGAGAUGUUGGGUUAAGUCCCGCAACGAGCGCAACCCUCGUUCCAUGUUGCCAGCACUUCGGGUGGGGACUCAUGGGAGACUGCCGGGGUCAACUCGGAGGAAGGUGGGGACGACGUCAAAUCAUCAUGCCCCUUAUGUCUUGGGCUUCACGCAUGCUACAAUGGCCGGUACAAUGGGUUGCGAUACUGUGAGGUGGAGCUAAUCCCAAAAAGCCGGUCUCAGUUCGGAUUGGGGUCUGCAACUCGACCCCAUGAAGUCGGAGUCGCUAGUAAUCGCAGAUCAGCAACGCUGCGGUGAAUACGUUCCCGGGCCUUGUACACACCGCCCGUCAAGUCACGAAAGUCGGUAACACCCGAAGCCGGUGGCC